Long non-coding RNA from Peromyscus leucopus (white-footed mouse), 898 nucleotides. RefSeq lists it as uncharacterized. The transcript is spliced from 2 exons. NCBI's taxonomy places the organism in Eukaryota, Metazoa, Chordata, Mammalia, Rodentia, Cricetidae. The record is from RefSeq and is a predicted model, not a curated record.
GGUAGUUUUCAUAAAAGAUUUUCUUACUCUUUCACUUUAUUCAAAGCAUCACCCUAAAUGAUCACACUCCAGGAAUCAGCUCUGGGGAAACAACUUCCUCUAUUUUUUUAUUUUUUUUUUUUGAGACAGGGGGUUCUCUGGCUGGCCUAGAACUUGCUCUGUAGACCAGGCUGGCCACUUGCCUCCCUGGGAUUAAAGGCGUGCUCCACCACCGCCCUGUGACUCUGUCUGUGGAGAUUUGUUGCCAACAUUGAAAAGCUUGUCCAAGACUGACACUGCUCGGCAUAAAGAACCAACCAUUGGUGUUUGUCCUCAAGAAAGGGCAGUCUGUGCUUAGGACAGAGUUCUUCUUGAGGAGGAAGAAGUUCGGCGGCAAAGGAAAAGAGCAAACCAAACCGACUCACACUACAGUCCAAUGCACACCCAGUGUGCUUAACGACAGAGUCUGGAGACCCUGAGCCACCAAACGCCUUUCCCUUUCUGUAAAGGGGUAAAACGGUCUAUUUUAAAAAUCGAAUCAGCACAAGAGACAACACAGGGAAGAAAAAGGUGAGGCCAGGGGCAAAUUCCUAGGAGAGCUCUCUCAGGCAGGAGACGGGCAGCACAGUCCCAAACCCGUCUGCGUUCUUUUAAACAGAUACAGCUGGUGUAUGGAGUGAGCGCAAUGUGGGUGAGUGGAUCAUCUCCCCCAUUGUGUCUCUCCCACCACAGACAACAGGCUGUCCUCCACAGAUGCUGAUGAAUGACCUGAGCACAUUACAAAGAGGCGGUUUGGUUUCCAUGUUAUCAAGAAACCAGAAUGGACAGUAUCACGCUCUACAGACUGUAAGGUUCACGAAGCCAGGAGGAACCUUCUCUAGGUUCCAUCCCUAACCCAAUUAAAAUGAAUAGAAGUCCA